AUUUUGGGAUACCUGAUAAUGUUUAUCAUUAGUCCAAAAAAAGUGUACUUUCGGAGAACAAUCUAUUUUACUCGUAAAAUGAAAUAGAAUAACAUAUCAACCCCACUACAUAUUCAACCAUAUAGGAUUUUAUUAAAAAUAGAACACUGAUAUAGACUUGCUAGAUACAGGUUGCUACAAAACUAAGAACUUUCAAUUCAUUU
Molecule: long non-coding RNA, 203 nt
Filed under: Panax ginseng (ginseng)
Lineage: Eukaryota; Viridiplantae; Streptophyta; Magnoliopsida; Apiales; Araliaceae
Description: long non-coding RNA (PGIN_LNC014016)
Source: RNAcentral